GCAAAAAUGAAACCCCGCGUGGUUCGUUCCUAACGUUGCGGAAGCGGAGAACAGCUGAACAAAUCAACGUUCCGUCUUCAAGGGUCCUUGUGUAGAUUUCAGCACAAGGAACUAAGGUGUGACCAACAUCUUUAUUUCCUUCCCCAAGAUGUGUGAGGAACACACCGUGACCGCUCACUAACAGAGAAGACAGUACACGCUGUGUCUGUGUAUGUGUUAUGACACGGUCCACGGCCAGCUCCACAGUCGAUAGCACUUAAAAGUUACACAUUAACUGGAUAACCGUGCAAAUUUGAAGGGGACUGAACGAGACUUUAGCUAGACUCUAGUGAACCAAUCAUCUGCACAGGAUCGAGAGGAAUUUCGUCUUUUAGGAGAGUUUUGAUAUCUGUUUCUACCAGAAGAAGGAGCUCUUAGGA
Lingula anatina is the source of this 419-nucleotide long non-coding RNA. The record is from RefSeq and is a predicted model, not a curated record. NCBI's taxonomy places the organism in Eukaryota, Metazoa, Brachiopoda, Lingulata, Lingulida, Lingulidae.